AUGAACGCUGACAGAAUGCUUAACACAUGCAAGUCAACUUGAAUUUGGGUUUUUAACUUAGGUUUGGGUGGCGGACGGGUGAGUAACGCGUAAAGAACUUGCCUCACAGCUAGGGACAACAUUUGGAAACGAAUGCUAAUACCUAAUAUUAUGAUAAUAGGGCAUCCUAUAAUUAUGAAAGCUAUAAGCGCUGUGAGAGAGCUUUGCAUCCCAUUAGCUAGUUGGAGAGGUAACGGCUCACCAAGGCGAUGAUGGGUAGCCGGCCUGAGAGGGUGAUCGGCCACAAGGGGACUGAGACACGGCCCUUACUCCUACGGGAGGCAGCAGUGGGGAAUAUUGGACAAUGGACCGAGAGUCUGAUCCAGCAAUUCUGUGUGCACGAUGAAGUUUUUCGGAAUGUAAAGUGCUUUCAGUUGGGAAGAAACAAAUGACGGUACCAACAGAAGAAGUGACGGCUAAAUACGUG
Molecule: ribosomal RNA, 466 nt
Filed under: uncultured bacterium
Lineage: Bacteria
Description: partial 16S ribosomal RNA
Rfam family: Bacterial small subunit ribosomal RNA
Source: RNAcentral